This 175-nucleotide ribosomal RNA is filed under the name uncultured bacterium. RNAcentral describes it as "partial 16S ribosomal RNA". It matches the Rfam family "Bacterial small subunit ribosomal RNA", at positions 118 to 291 of the family's 1533-position model. The record is from RNAcentral.
UGAGGAACAUGACCUUCGGCGGGGGAUAGCCGGCCCAACGGCCGGGUAAUACCGCGUACGACCACAUGGGGACAUCCCUGAGUGGUGAAAGCAGCAAUGCGCCGAUGGAGUGCCUCGCGGCCUAUCAGCUAGUUGGUGAGGUAACGGCUCACCAAGGCGACGACUGGUAGCUGGU